This 460-nucleotide ribosomal RNA is filed under the name uncultured bacterium. RNAcentral's name for it is "partial 16S ribosomal RNA". It matches the Rfam family "Bacterial small subunit ribosomal RNA", at positions 338 to 795 of the family's 1533-position model. The record is from RNAcentral.
CCUACGGGAGGCAGCAGUGAGGAAUAUUGGUCAAUGGACGAGAGUCUGAACCAGCCAAGUAGCGUGAAGGAUGACUGCCCUAUGGGUUGUAAACUUCUUUUAUAAAGGAAUAAAACGGGGCACGUGUGCCUUUUUGCAUGUACUUUAUGAAUAAGGAUCGGCUAAUUCCGUGCCAGCAGCCGCGGUAAUACGGAGGGUCCGAGCGUUAUCCGGAUUUAUUGGGUUUAAAGGGAGCGUAGAUGGGUUGUUAAGUCAGUUGUGAAAGUUUGCGGCUCAACCGUAAAAUUGCAGUUGAUACUGGCAGUCUUGAGUACGGGUGAGGUAGGCGGAAUUCGUGGUGUAGCGGUGAAAUGCUUAGAUAUCACGAAGAACCCCGAUUGCGAAGGCAGCUUACUAAACUGUUACUGACAUUGAUGCUCGAAAGUGUGGGUAUCGAACAGGAUUAGAUACCCCAGUAGUC